AUUGAGAAGAGUCUCCAAUAGAGAUGCAGUUGGAAUCGCUUAAGAAUUAUGUUGUUAAAGAUGUAAUGGAACCUGUUUUUAAAUUUGGAUAGUGAGUUCUCAAAUACAUUUUAAAGCUCAAGAGCAAAGUAGGGGUGUUUUCAAUUUGCUUACUAUUGAACCUUCUCAGCUUCCUCAACUGCAAGGCAUGUAGCUUUCUCUGUGAAUGAAAAUACUAGCAAAUAAAAUGCUGCUUUCAGAAUCUUGUCCAAAAGACUACAGUGGGAAUCCAUGGGGGAAAAAAAGAGAUCCAAAAAAGAAAUUAAUUAAUAUGCAGUAGGUCAAAAGAAUGAUGGUGAUCAUAAAUUUACUGAAUCAGAGUGGAAAGUAUAAGGAAAAAUGAAGCAAUCUGAUAUUCUACUUUCUGUCCUAUUAUAGAUUUUUGUUUUAUGGAAGGAAAUGAUGAAGAGAAUAGUAUGCAUUUCUCUUUCAAUGGCUUGAAUGGAAAAUGUUUUUAAAAAGUCAGUCUCCUGGUCCCUAAUCUAAAUUAUGGUCAUUUUCAGUUUCCUGGGUUUUAUACAUAACUCUAGAUUCUUCUUAGUGUGAUAUUUUCGAAGCAAACCUUAAUACAGUCUCAAUGUGUGGUUUCCCCCCUGGGUUUUAGUUUCAGAUACUGUAUUGUGAGUCUUCAGACAUGUUGAGUCCCCCUAAUGUUAAAUGGUAAUUGCCAGAAGUAUAGGUGGGGAUGGAAACAUUGUUAUAUUUGGUUCAUUUUUCACACUUCAGCAGUUAUCCCUUUUUCUCUCUUGCUGUAUGCUUAUUAGGGUAUGAAAUGCAGGUGUGUGGGAAAUGGCUAGCGGACAUUGACAGGUUAUUUUGUUGGUCACUGCCUAAUUAGUAGCAUAGUGGAUGCACCCUGCUAAGCUUUAGUGUGGGGCAGCAGAGCUGGUCUGUUCUAAUUUCCUCACGGCUUUGAUAUUCGCCAAGAGAUUGACGGUUUACACAAAAAGCCAAGGCCCGAAGGAGGCCUGUGGAAACAAUGAGCCUUCUUGCUUGUAGACACCACAGAUGUGAGAGAAAGCUGGCUAAAAACAAUUGGCUGACACUGUCUAAUUGUCUCCGAUGUCAGCGUCAUUAAUGUUUUCCCAUGUAAAACGGAGAAGGCCAAGGUUGUAUCCUCCCUUUAUUUUGAGGCACAUGAUUAUGUAACUUAUCGAGAUUCAGAUUAAGUGUUAAUUGUAUUUGUGCAAUAAAGAAACUGAAGCUACCUUGGAUUUAAUGAAUAUGUGCUUAAUUAAUUUUGACAGCUUUUAUCUUUAUUACCUUCUGAAUAAUUCUUAUCGGAAUUAAUAACAUUUUCCAGUAAUUAAAAUCACAACUUAUUUAAUGGUAAUAUAUAUUUACAUUUCUUUCUAAGUUCAAACCAGGGAAAUGAUUAUGAAACUUCGCUUAUCUUUUGGCAAGCCUCUUAUGAGGGUGUUAAGCAAUAAUUAGAACAAAUACUUUGGGAUGUCAGCAGAGCUUUUCAAAUUAGACAGCUGACCCAAGUGUUCUAAAGAAAUACAUGUUAAUAGCCAAGAAGUACAAAAUUACCAGGCUACUCCUGUGAAACUCCAAACCUAUUUUUAUCUGCGAAAUGGCUUUAAAGAUUUUUUCCUGAGGAGGGGAAAACUGGGGAAGGUGACACCCUAGGAAGAACUGACAGCUUGGACUGAAAUUAAACAUUUUUUUUUGCAAGGCAAGACCUGUAGCUUCCUACAGCGCUGAUGAUAUAUUAACCCAAGCUGAAGUAUGUUGCAUGUCAUUGUGAUCAGCAAAUAUUAUACCGUGUGUACUGUGCGGCAACCUCUGUGACACCAAAAUAAGGCAACUACUGUAGUUUCUGCCUCUUUUGAUAUUUCUUAGGUCUUUUUGGGGCAAUACAUUUUUCUCAUCUGAGCAGUAUAAGAGUAGUGGCAGAGCAAUGGAGUUGUGCCCAGGAGAAGAGAUAUUCUUUGAUUUGUUUAUGGUCUGUGAUGCUUCUGAGUCAGGGAAGCCCACAUAUCCUGAGUUCCACAAUGAGUUAAAAUAUGUCAAAUUUGAUUCUCAAAAAUAAUCUAUUGGAAGACUUGGCCUCCCUCAAAAUCAUUUAUCCAGGAAGCUCCAUGUUUUCCUCUGAACCCUCUUACUCACCCAGCUUUGUUGCUUGAGUGCAUAACUACCCUUGACAGAAAGCAUUGGUUUUUGAACUUGAGGUCAUGCCUAGAAAAUCAUAUUGCCGAGUGUUUGGCUUCUUGUAUCCCUUUCUUACCUGCACAAUAGCACUGGCAAAGUGCUGUCCACACAGUGAAUGCCCAUUGUGUGUGGUUCCAAUACAUUGUCCACAGUGGUUUCCUAGGGGUUAUGUUACAGUACAGCUUAUGACCAAAGAGAGCCUGGUGUUGUGGAAAAGCCCAUAGCCUUUAGGGUUAGAUAGAUCUUAGUUUGAAUCUAGCCUCAGGUACUCAUUAGCUGAAUGACUUUGGACAUGAUCUUUUUGAGUCUCAAGUUUUUGUUUUGUUUUGUUGUGUUGUGUUGUGUUUUUGAGACAGGGUCUCGCUCUGUCACCCAUACUGGAGUUCAGUGGCAUGAUCUUGGCUUACUGCAACCUCCACCUCCUGGGCUCAAGUGAUCCUCCCACCUCAGCCUCCCAAGUAGCUGGAACCCUGGAACCACAGCCAGGUUUGCCCUCCAAUCAGUGGCCUGCCUUCAUUUUCCAGAUUGAUGAAGUCUGCCUCAGAGAAGGGGAUGGAGUCUUGCCCUGUCGCCCAGGCUGGAGUAUAAUGGUGUGAUCCCAGCUCACUGCAACUUCUGCCUCCUGGGUUCAAAUGAGUCUCCUGCCUCAGUUUCCUGAGUAGCUGGAAUUACAAGCACCUGCCACCACACCAAGCUAAUUUUUGUAUACCUGUUUGGGAUGUAUACCUCUUUGGAUUUUGAGAAGUACAUACAGUCAUGUAUCCAACACUCCAGUAUCAUACAGAAUAAUUCUGUCAUUCUAAAAAUUCCCCCGUGUGGCCCUUUUAUAGUUUAUACAACACUCCAGUAUCAUACAGAAUAAUUCUAUCGUUCUAAAAAUUCCCCUGUGUGGCCCUUUUAUAGUCGCCCUUCCCUUCUUCCUCAACCCCUGGUAACCAUGAUAUGUUUCUUAUUUUUAUAGUUUUGCCUUUUCAUGAUGUCACAUAAAUUGAACCAUACUGUACAUAGCCUUUUGGGUCUGGAUUAUUAAAUUUAACAGAAUGCAUUUAAGAUCUAUAUGCACUGUAUCCACUUAGUAGCUCAUUCUUCUUUAUUGAUGUAUAUAUCCUAUUUUAUGAAAUAUAUAUGUAUAUAUUUGUUUAUUCAUUCACCUGUUGAGAGACAUCUUGGCUUUUUCCAGUUAUUCGUGAUUAUUAAUAAAGCUGUUAUAAACAAUUGCAUAUAGGUUUUUCUGUGAAUAUAAGAUUUCUGUUCAUCUGGGUAAGCCCCAGGAAUGG
This is a non-coding RNA of Callithrix jacchus (white-tufted-ear marmoset), 3470 nucleotides long. Lineage: Eukaryota; Metazoa; Chordata; Mammalia; Primates; Cebidae. The record is from RefSeq and is a predicted model, not a curated record.